RNAcentral lists this ribosomal RNA (597 nucleotides) under uncultured bacterium. RNAcentral's name for it is "bacterial SSU rRNA". It matches the Rfam family "Bacterial small subunit ribosomal RNA", at positions 69 to 659 of the family's 1533-position model. The record is from RNAcentral.
GCAUCAUUAAAGCUUGCUUUGAUGGAUGGCGACCGGCGCACGGGUGAGUAACACGUAUCCAACCUGCCGACAACACUGGGAUAGCCUUUCGAAAGAAAGAUUAAUACCGGAUGGCAUAGUCUUCCCGCAUGGGAUGACUAUUAAAGAAUUUCGGUUGUCGAUGGGGAUGCGUUCCAUUAGGCAGUUGGCGGGGUAACGGCCCACCAAACCAACGAUGGAUAGGGGUUCUGAGAGGAAGGUCCCCCACAUUGGAACUGAGACACGGUCCAAACUCCUACGGGAGGCAGCAGUGAGGAAUAUUGGUCAAUGGACGAGAGUCUGAACCAGCCAAGUAGCGUGAAGGAUGACUGCCCUAUGGGUUGUAAACUUCUUUUAUACGGGAAUAAAGUGAGCCACGUGUGGCUUUUUGUAUGUACCGUAUGAAUAAGGAUCGGCUAACUCCGUGCCAGCAGCCGCGGUAAUACGGAGGAUCCGAGCGUUAUCCGGAUUUAUUGGGUUUAAAGGGAGCGUAGGCGGGUUGUUAAGUCAGUUGUGAAAGUUUGCGGCUCAACCGUAAAAUUGCAGUUGAUACUGGCGACCUUGAGUGCAACAGAGGUA